This 833-nucleotide ribosomal RNA is filed under the name Bacillus sp. (in: firmicutes). RNAcentral describes it as "bacterial SSU rRNA". It matches the Rfam family "Bacterial small subunit ribosomal RNA", at positions 56 to 870 of the family's 1533-position model. Lineage: Bacteria; Bacillati; Bacillota; Bacilli; Caryophanales; Bacillaceae. The record is from RNAcentral.
UGCAAGUCGAGCGGACAGAUGGGAGCUUGCUCCCUGAUGUUAGCGGCGGACGGGUGAGUAACACGUGGGUAACCUGCCUGUAAGACUGGGAUAACUCCGGGAAACCGGGGCUAAUACCGGAUGGUUGUCUGAACCGCAUGGUUCAGACAUAAAAGGUGGCUUCGGCUACCACUUACAGAUGGACCCGCGGCGCAUUAGCUAGUUGGUGAGGUAACGGCUCACCAAGGCGACGAUGCGUAGCCGACCUGAGAGGGUGAUCGGCCACACUGGGACUGAGACACGGCCCAGACUCCUACGGGAGGCAGCAGUAGGGAAUCUUCCGCAAUGGACGAAAGUCUGACGGAGCAACGCCGCGUGAGUGAUGAAGGUUUUCGGAUCGUAAAGCUCUGUUGUUAGGGAAGAACAAGUGCCGUUCAAAUAGGGCGGCACCUUGACGGUACCUAACCAGAAAGCCACGGCUAACUACGUGCCAGCAGCCGCGGUAAUACGUAGGUGGCAAGCGUUGUCCGGAAUUAUUGGGCGUAAAGGGCUCGCAGGCGGUUUCUUAAGUCUGAUGUGAAAGCCCCCGGCUCAACCGGGGAGGGUCAUUGGAAACUGGGGAACUUGAGUGCAGAAGAGGAGAGUGGAAUUCCACGUGUAGCGGUGAAAUGCGUAGAGAUGUGGAGGAACACCAGUGGCGAAGGCGACUCUCUGGUCUGUAACUGACGCUGAGGAGCGAAAGCGUGGGGAGCGAACAGGAUUAGAUACCCUGGUAGUCCACGCCGUAAACGAUGAGUGCUAAGUGUUAGGGGGUUUCCGCCCCUUAGUGCUGCAGCUAACGCAUUAAGCACUCC